UUUGUGAGAAUGUUUUUGUUUAGUUUUUUUGUGAAGAUGAAUUCGUUUUUAACGAAAUUUUUAUAGAGGUUUAUAUAUUUAUUUGUAGAAUUUAAAGAAAGAGAGUUUUAAAAUUGUUUUAUUAGUAGGAUUGUUUAUUUUUGUGAGUUGAAUGUAGUUAUUAUAGGAAAUAUUUUGAGAAUGUUUUUGUUUAGGUUUGAUGUGAAGAUAUAUUUGUUUUGAAGGAAGGUUAUAAAGUGGUUUAAAUAUUUAUUUGUAGAUU
Molecule: unclassified non-coding RNA, 262 nt
Filed under: Hevea brasiliensis (rubber tree)
Lineage: Eukaryota; Viridiplantae; Streptophyta; Magnoliopsida; Malpighiales; Euphorbiaceae
Source: RNAcentral